UUCAAGUUUUUUUUUGCUUUU
Molecule: small RNA, 21 nt
Filed under: Arabidopsis thaliana (thale cress)
Lineage: Eukaryota; Viridiplantae; Streptophyta; Magnoliopsida; Brassicales; Brassicaceae
Description: ATSL004120
Source: RNAcentral